Molecule: ribosomal RNA, 611 nt
Filed under: Aspergillus oryzae
Lineage: Eukaryota; Fungi; Ascomycota; Eurotiomycetes; Eurotiales; Aspergillaceae
Description: eukaryotic LSU rRNA
Rfam family: 5.8S ribosomal RNA (bases 215-368)
Source: RNAcentral
CUUUCUUAACGUGACCUNCGAAGGAUCAUAUCCGAGUGUAGGGUUCCUAGCGAGCCCAACCUCCCACCCGUGUUUACUGUACCUUAGUUGCAUCCGCGGGCCCGCAAUUCAAUGGCCGCCGGGGGCUCUCAGCCCCGGGCCCGCGCCCGCCGGAGACACCACGAACUCUGUCUGAUCUAGUGAAGUCUGAGUUGAUUGUAUCGCAAUCAGUUAAAACUUUCAACAAUGGAUCUCUUGGUUCCGGCAUCGAUGAAGAACGCAGCGAAAUGCGAUAACUAGUGUGAAUUGCAGAAUUCCGUGAAUCAUCGAGUCUUUGAACGCACAUUGCGCCCCCUGGUAUUCCGGGGGGCAUGCCUGUCCGAGCGUCAUUGCUGCCCAUCAAGCACGGCUUGUGUGUUGGGUCGUCGUCCCCUCUCCGGGGGGGACGGGCCCCAAAGGCAGCGGCGGCACCGCGUCCGAUCCUCGAGCGUAUGGGGCUUUGUCACCAGCUCUGUGAGGCCCGGCCGGCGCUUGCCGAACGCAAAUCAAUCUUUUCCAGGUUGACCUCGGAUCAGGUAGGGAUACCCGCUGAACUUAGCAUAUCAAUAGCCGGAGGAACNNNUNGGUNNCCU